This 253-nucleotide ribosomal RNA is filed under the name uncultured bacterium. Its description in RNAcentral is "partial 16S ribosomal RNA". It matches the Rfam family "Bacterial small subunit ribosomal RNA", at positions 524 to 776 of the family's 1533-position model. The record is from RNAcentral.
UACGGGGGGGGCAAGCGUUGUUCGGAAUUAUUGGGCGUAAAGAGCUCGUAGGCGGCUUGUUGCGUCGACUGUGAAAACCCGCGGCUUAACUGCGGGCUUGCAGUUGAUACGGGCAGGCUAGAGUUCGGUAGGGGAGACUGGAAUUCCUGGUGUAGCGGUGAAAUGCGCAGAUAUCAGGAGGAACACCGGUGGCGAAGGCGGGUCUCUGGGCCGAUACUGACGCUGAGGAGCGAAAGCGUGGGGAGCGAACAGG